Molecule: unclassified non-coding RNA, 234 nt
Filed under: plant metagenome
Description: partial contains small subunit ribosomal RNA, internal transcribed spacer 1, and 5.8S ribosomal RNA
Source: RNAcentral
UUUCCGUAGGUGAACCCGCGGAAGGAUCAUUAAAGUUAUAGUCCCCCGGCCCUCUGGGCUGGGGUCUUCUAUACCACCCUUUGUUUAUUACACCUUUGUUGCUUUGGCAGGCCUGCCCUCGGGCUGCUGGCUCCGGCCGGCUCGCGUCUGCCAGAGGACCUAAACUCUGUUUGUAUAUGAAGUCUGAGUACUAUAUAAUAGUUAAAACUUUCAACAACGGAUCUCUUGGUUCUG